This 267-nucleotide ribosomal RNA is filed under the name uncultured bacterium. Its description in RNAcentral is "partial 16S ribosomal RNA". It matches the Rfam family "Bacterial small subunit ribosomal RNA", at positions 1234 to 1500 of the family's 1533-position model. The record is from RNAcentral.
CGGGUACAACGAGUCGCAAGACCGCGAGGUUUAGCAAAUCUCUUAAAGCCGCUCUCAGUUCGGAUUGUAGGCUGCAACUCGCCUACAUGAAGUCGGAAUCGCUAGUAAUCGCGGAUCAGCAUGCCGCGGUGAAUACGUUCCCGGGCCUUGUACACACCGCCCGUCACACCAUGAGAGUUUGUAACACCCAAAGCCGGUGGGGUAACCUUUUGGAGCCAGCCGUCUAAGGUGGGACAGAUGAUUAGGGUGAAGUCGUAACAAGGUACC